RNAcentral lists this ribosomal RNA (216 nucleotides) under Glomeromycotina sp. RNAcentral describes it as "partial small subunit ribosomal RNA". The stretch from base 75 to 216 matches the Rfam family "Eukaryotic small subunit ribosomal RNA", at positions 721 to 864 of the family's 1831-position model. Lineage: Eukaryota; Fungi; Glomeromycota. The record is from RNAcentral.
GGGUCAGUAGGUUGGUCGUGCCACCGGUACGUACUGGUCUCACUGAUCGCACCUUCCUGAAGAACCGUAAUGCCAUUAAUUUGGUGUUGCGGGGAAACAGGACUGUUACUUUGAAAAAAUUAGAGUGUUUAAAGCAAGCUAACGCUUGAAUACAUUAGCAUGGGAUAAUGAAAUAGGACGAUCGAUCCUAUUUUGUUGGUUUCUAGGAUUGACGUA